RNAcentral lists this ribosomal RNA (253 nucleotides) under uncultured bacterium. RNAcentral describes it as "partial 16S ribosomal RNA". It matches the Rfam family "Bacterial small subunit ribosomal RNA", at positions 524 to 776 of the family's 1533-position model. The record is from RNAcentral.
UACAGAGGGGGCAAGCGUUGUUCGGAAUUACUGGGCGUAAAGGGCGCGUAGGCGGCCUGCUAAGUCGAACGUGAAAUCCCUGGGCUCAACCCAGGAACUGCGUCCGAUACUGGUUGGCUUGAAUCCGGGAGAGGGAUGUGGAAUUCCAGGUGUAGCGGUGAAAUGCGUAGAUAUCUGGAGGAACACCGGUGGCGAAGGCGACAUCCUGGACCGGUAUUGACGCCGAGGCGCGAAAGCCAGGGGAGCAAACGGG